CAGCAACGCCGCGUGAGUGAUGAAGGCCUUCGGGUCGUAAAGCUCUGUCAGGUGGGAAGAACCCUGGAUAUAAUAAAAUGUAUUCAGCUGACGGUACCACCGAAGGAAGCACCGGCUAACUCCGUGCCAGCAGCCGCGGUAAUACGGAGGGUGCAAGCGUUAUUCGGAAUUAUUGGGCGUAAAGAGCGCGCAGGCGGUUUUUUAAGUCAGAUGUGAAAUCCCAGGGCUUAACCCUGGAAGAGCAUUUGAUACUAUUGAACUUGAGUAUGGGAGAGGGAAGCGGAAUUCCUGGUGUAGCGGUGAAAUGCGUAGAUAUCAGGAGGAACACCGGUGGCGAAGGCGGCUUUCUGGACCAAUACUGACGCUGAGGCGCGAAGGUGUGGGUAGCAACAGGAUUAGAUACCCUGGUAGUCCACACAGUAAACGUUUAUCACCAAGUG
This 440-nucleotide ribosomal RNA is filed under the name uncultured delta proteobacterium. RNAcentral describes it as "bacterial SSU rRNA". It matches the Rfam family "Bacterial small subunit ribosomal RNA", at positions 389 to 822 of the family's 1533-position model. The record is from RNAcentral. Lineage: Bacteria; Deltaproteobacteria.